UCCGCUGUGGAAAGUUUAGUGAACCUUAUCACUUAGAGGAAGGAGAAGUCGUAACAAGGUUUCCGUAGGUGAACCUGCGGAAGGAUCAUUC
This 91-nucleotide ribosomal RNA is filed under the name Blastodinium pruvoti. RNAcentral describes it as "partial 18S ribosomal RNA". It matches the Rfam family "Eukaryotic small subunit ribosomal RNA", at positions 1741 to 1831 of the family's 1831-position model. Lineage: Eukaryota; Dinophyceae; Blastodiniales. The record is from RNAcentral.